CAACAGCUGCGCGCCCGCCUAGCGCUGCGAACCCGGAGUGAGAGGCGCUUCAGAGACCGGAGGGACGGACCUGCAGGAGCCAGGGCUGCCCGCCGAGCUGCAGUUGCCGCUACUGCCGCUGUCAGCGCCCGACUGAAGAGUGACAGUCGCAAAAGCAGGAGUGAGCACCGAACCCCGCGCUUCUACCUAACAGGUGCAUGCGCCGAUCUGGUGAGUGGACCCAGCUCGCAAGAUCUCAGGUAACCCAUUCAUGAGCCUGAGGCUGUGAGAAAUGCUCGCUGUGCAAAGGGGAACUCUCACCAGAUUUUCUGAAGCUGUUCUAGAAAUACACUUUUCGGAUUGAUUCAGCAUUACCAGCUUAUCCAACAAAGGUAUUAACAUAUACAUUAACAACGUCGAAAGUAGCCUACUUUAAGAGAAAAUAUGCAGAAGAAGAAGAUUUACAUCAAGAUUACCAUGGGUAUUUUCCAAAACACCUGAUAUUACCUGAGGACAGAACUUGCAUUCUCAAACUUUCUCUGGAGAAGCUCAGGUUUCUUGAAGACCCAGAAACCUACUUAAGAAGGUCUGUGUUAAUUAACAAUUUGCUGAGGAAGAUACAUCUAGAGACGGAGAAAGAGAGCUAUGAAUACUUUAAAGAAGCUCCCUGUUAUAAGACUGCAUAUUCUGAUACAAGAAAACGGCUGAAGUUUAUGGUACAGGAAUGCUGUUCUCAGUCUCUCUAUUAUGAAGAGCUGCAUUCGUAUCAUAUUGUGCCUUAUGCUUCGGAGAAUGCCAUUUAUGAAAUGGGCUACACUAGCAGCCACUUGGAGCAAAAUUCUCAGUUGCUUAUUUAUAAAAUGAAUUAAAGUAACUGUUAAGUCCA
This 865-nucleotide small RNA is filed under the name Pongo abelii (Sumatran orangutan). RNAcentral's name for it is "processed transcript". The record is from RNAcentral. Lineage: Eukaryota; Metazoa; Chordata; Mammalia; Primates; Hominidae.